Molecule: ribosomal RNA, 497 nt
Filed under: uncultured bacterium
Lineage: Bacteria
Description: partial 16S ribosomal RNA
Rfam family: Bacterial small subunit ribosomal RNA
Source: RNAcentral
GAUGAACGCUGGCGGCGUGCCUAAUACAUGCAAGUCGAGCGAACAGACGAGGAGCUUGCUCCUCUGACGUUAGCGGCGGACGGGUGAGUAACACGUGGAUAACCUACCUAUAAGACUGGGAUAACUUCGGGAAACCGGAGCUAAUACCGGAUAAUAUAUUGAACCGCAUGGUUCAAUAGUGAAAGACGGUUUUGCUGUCACUUAUAGAUGGAUCCGCGCCGCAUUAGCUAGUUGGUAAGGUAACGGCUUACCAAGGCAACGAUGCGUAGCCGACCUGAGAGGGUGAUCGGCCACACUGGAACUGAGACACGGUCCAGACUCCUACGGGAGGCAGCAGUAGGGAAUCUUCCGCAAUGGGCGAAAGCCUGACGGAGCAACGCCGCGUGAGUGAUGAAGGUCUUCGGAUCUUAAAACUCUGUUAUUAGGGAAGAACAAAUGUGUAAGUAACUAUGCACGUCUUGACGGUACCUAAUCAGAAAGCCACGGCUAACUCCGUG